Molecule: long non-coding RNA, 437 nt
Filed under: Homo sapiens (human)
Lineage: Eukaryota; Metazoa; Chordata; Mammalia; Primates; Hominidae
Description: non-protein coding lnc-PAPOLG-2:1
Source: RNAcentral
AUGAAGUACAAUCCCUUUGUGACUUCUGACCGAAGCAAGAACUGCAAAAGGCAUUUCAAUGCACCUUCCCACACUCGCAGAAAGAUUAUGUCUUCCCCUCUUUCCAAAGAGCUGAGACAAAAGUACAAUGUUCGAUCGAAGACCAUCCAAAAGGAUGACGAAGUUCAGGUUGCGCGAGGACACUGUAAGGGUCAGCAAAUUGGCCAAAUAAUCCAGGUUUACAGGAAGAAAUAUGCCAUCUACAUUGAACGGGUGCAGUGGGAAAAGGCUAACAGCAUAGCUGUCCCUGUGGGCAUUCACCCAGCAAGGUGGUUAUCACUAGACUAAAACUUGACAAAGGCCACAAAAAGAUCCUUGAACGGAAAGCCAAAUCUCGCCAAGUAGGAAAGGAAAAUGGCAAAUACAAGAAAGAAACAAUAGGGAAGGUGCAGGAAUAA